GGUGGUGGCUCAGUGGUAGAGCGCUUACCUAGCACUUGAGAGGCCCUGAGUUCCAUCCUCGGAACCA
RNAcentral lists this transfer RNA (67 nucleotides) under Marmota monax (woodchuck). RNAcentral's name for it is "tRNA.Ala". The record is from RNAcentral. Lineage: Eukaryota; Metazoa; Chordata; Mammalia; Rodentia; Sciuridae.